AACAAUUACAAUAAUAACAAUAACAAUUUCAAUUAAAACAAUACAAUGACAAUCACAAUAAGAUUUAUUAUCUACAUCUGAUUAUGAAGACGACUUAGACCCAACCCCGAUAACUGGCGAUACGCUUGGUGUAUUGCGUCUUUGCUGACAAUAGUUCCUUGAUGUGAUGGUACCACAGAUCCAAGAGUACCUUAUGGUUUGUUGGAUUAGUCGCAUUUAGGGAGAAAAAAUCCAAUACAAAAAUAAAAAGAAAAAAUCUAGCACAAGCAAGCGUUUUAUGGCACUAAUACAAACUCCAACUCCAACUCAAAUUUCAAUUUCAAUUCUUACUGCCAACUGUGAAGGAGAGACAUAUGCUUACACACGAAACUGGCAACGUUUAACAUACCCAAAUCGAAACACACAGUAUUCAAUGCUUAAAUGCUUAAGACAGAUUCUAAUUCGAUGGUUUCCUUGUUGUCGCACAUCAGGAAGAAUUUGCUUCAUUCAUUUCCAUAAGCCUAGCGCACAUUCCUGAAGAUAGUUAACGACGCAAACAUCUCGUUCAUCGCCACUAAGGGGUUGUAGACAAUUUCGCGCACGGAAUCCAGUUGAACCAAGUGAGGGUUGCGCGUCUCAGCUUUAUGACAGCUAGAAAUAUUUCUCUUUUUG
Long non-coding RNA from Drosophila hydei, 651 nucleotides. RefSeq lists it as uncharacterized. The record is from RefSeq and is a predicted model, not a curated record. Lineage: Eukaryota; Metazoa; Arthropoda; Insecta; Diptera; Drosophilidae. The transcript is spliced from 6 exons.